This 544-nucleotide ribosomal RNA is filed under the name uncultured bacterium. Its description in RNAcentral is "bacterial SSU rRNA". It matches the Rfam family "Bacterial small subunit ribosomal RNA", at positions 777 to 1320 of the family's 1533-position model. The record is from RNAcentral.
AAUAGAUACCCGGGUAGUCCAUGCCGUAAACGAUGUCUACUAGCCGUUGGGGCCUUUGAGGCUUUAGUGGCGCAGCUAACGCGAUAAGUAGACCGCCUGGGGAGUACGGUCGCAAGACUAAAACUCAAAUGAAUUGACGGGGGCCCGCACAAGCGGUGGAGCAUGUGGUUUAAUUCGAUGCAACGCGAAGAACCUUACCUGGUCUUGACAUAGUAAGAACUUUCCAGAGAUGGAUUGGUGCCUUCGGGAACUUACAUACAGGUGCUGCAUGGCUGUCGUCAGCUCGUGUCGUGAGAUGUUGGGUUAAGUCCCGCAACGAGCGCAACCCUUUUCCUUAUUUGCCAGCGGGUUAAGCCGGGAACUUUAAGGAUACUGCCAGUGACAAACUGGAGGAAGGCGGGGACGACGUCAAGUCAUCAUGGCCCUUACGACCAGGGCUACACACGUGCUACAAUGGUCGGUACAAAGGGUUGCUACCUAGCGAUAGGAUGCUAAUCUCAAAAAGCCGAUCGUAGUCCGGAUUGGAGUCUGCAACUCGACUCCA